GCGGUUGUGGCUCAGUGUUAGAGUGCUCACCUAGCAUGUGCUGAGGCCCUGAGUUUGAUCCUCAGCACCACA
This 72-nucleotide transfer RNA is filed under the name Marmota monax (woodchuck). RNAcentral's name for it is "tRNA.Ala". Lineage: Eukaryota; Metazoa; Chordata; Mammalia; Rodentia; Sciuridae. The record is from RNAcentral.